Molecule: ribosomal RNA, 436 nt
Filed under: uncultured eukaryote
Lineage: Eukaryota
Description: bacterial SSU rRNA
Rfam family: Eukaryotic small subunit ribosomal RNA
Source: RNAcentral
CAAUAGCGUAUAUUAAUACUGUUGCAGUUAAAAAGCUCGUAGUUGGAUCUUGGGUCCAGGCAUGGGGUGAGCGACCUAAAAUUGCGCUCACUCUCUGUCUCCUGGUCUCCUGUAGCUACGUGUCCACUGAUGAUCUUUACCGAUUGUCUAUGGUGCGAAGCUCGUUUACUUUGAAAAAUUAGAGUGUUCAAAGCAGGCCUAAACAACGUAGCCUGAAUAAAUGUGCAUGGAAUAAUAGAAGAGGACCUCUGUUCUAUCUUUUGUUUGGUUUCCGGAAUGUGAGGUAAUGAUUAAAAGGAACAGCCGGGGGCGAUCUGUACUACUGCGUUAGAGGUGAAAUUCUUGGAUCGCAGUAUGACAAACUAACAGCGAAAGACAUUUGUCCAAGUAUGUUUUCUAUUAAUACAAGAACGAAAGUACAGAGGUUCGAAGACGA